GCGAGAGUGGUGGAACCUGGCAGACACGCCAGACUUAGGAUCUGGUGCCGAAAGGCUUAAGGGUUCAAAUCCCUUCUCUCGCA
Molecule: transfer RNA, 83 nt
Filed under: Spirochaetes bacterium RBG_13_68_11
Lineage: Bacteria; Pseudomonadati; Spirochaetota
Description: tRNA-Leu
Rfam family: tRNA
About the family: Transfer RNA (tRNA) molecules are approximately 80 nucleotides in length. Their secondary structure includes four short double-helical elements and three loops (D, anti-codon, and T loops).
Source: RNAcentral